CACCUUUCAGUGUUGCAACAUUUGUAAAUGUUAAUUUCAAUAACUGAAAUACCCUAUUGCAACAAUCUCAACAAUAAUACUCUCUCUUUAUGCAACACAUGAUUCACGCCUAUUGCAAUAUUUAAAAAUCAUCUUCUGCAACAUCCCAAUAAUUUAUUACAACACAAAGAAACAGCAAAAAAAAACAUACAAAAUAGCAAGGGGAUGGGUUUCGAGGUGCAGGAUGCUCUAGCCCUGGCCCAUCACCUUCGAGCUCGCAGGAUGGAGGAAAUAGGACCUCAGAGCUCAUCAAAACUCUAGCCAUCGUUGUGUGCCUUAGAUCCAGCAGAGGAGGAGGAGGAGGAGGAGGAGGAGGCGGCUCAUAUCCAGAGGAUAGGGAUGAGGAUGAUGGCUUAGAUCCGGAGAAUAAGGAGGAUGAGAAAGAAGGGAGGAGGAGGGCUCAGAUCCAUAAAAAACCGACCUACCUCGUCAAAGCCACCGUCAUCGUUCUUGUCUCUAGUAGGAGGAGUGGGAGCAAGGUCGCAUGGAGGUCGUGGAAGAGGAAGGGAGGGAGGGAGGGAGUGUCGAUGAGCAGCGCAAGGCAGUAGCGAAGUGGCGUGCAGUGCGUGGCGUCUGUCCCCACGAGCAGGCGAGACAGCAAGGGGAGGGGCGUGAGCACCGGGAGGGAGGGAGCGCCGACGAGCGGCGCGGAGUAGAAGAGGUGGCAACAAAAGAGGUGCGAGCACCAUGGGAGUGAGUGGUGGAGAAAAGGAUAAGGAAUGAGGGAAGCAGCGUGCGGCAC
RNAcentral lists this long non-coding RNA (781 nucleotides) under Sorghum bicolor (sorghum). RNAcentral describes it as "long non-coding RNA (SBIC_LNC003504)". The record is from RNAcentral. Lineage: Eukaryota; Viridiplantae; Streptophyta; Magnoliopsida; Poales; Poaceae.